AGAGUUUGANCCUGGCUCAGGACGAACGCUGGCGGCGUGCUUAAUACAUGCAAGUCGAGCGAGGUUACUGUUUUGGAUCNNUUCGGGGUGAAGAAGCUUUAACCUAGCGGCGGACGGGUGAGUAACGCGUGGGUAACCUACCCCAAAGUCCGGGGUAACAGCGGGAAACCGCUGCUAAUACCGGAUGCCUUUACCUUGGGGCAUCUUGAGGUAAAGAAAGGCAACGCUUUGGGAUGGGCCCGCGUCCCAUUAGCUAGUUGGUGAGGUAACGGCUCACCAAGGCGACGAUGGGUAGCCGGCCUGAGAGGGUGGACGGCCACACUGGGACUGAGACACGGCCCAGACUCCUACGGGAGGCAGCAGUAGGGAAUAUUGCGCAAUGGACGGAAGUCUGACGCAGCGACGCCGCGUGAGCGAUGAAGGUCUUCGGAUCGUAAAGCUCUGUCCUUGGGGAAGAAGGUCUUCGGACUUGACGGUACCCAAGAAGAAAGCCCCGGCUAACUACGUGCCAGCAGCCGCGGUAAUACGUAGGGGGCGAGCGUUGUCCGGAAUUACUGGGCGUAAAGGGUGCGUAGGCGGCCCUUUAAGUCGGAUGUGAAAGCCCGCGGCUUAACCGCGGAAUGGCAUUCGAAACUGGAGGGCUUGAGUGUCGGAGAGGGUAGUGGAAUUCCCAGUGUAGCGGUGAAAUGCGUAGAUAUUGGGAGGAACACCAGUGGCGAAGGCGACUACCUGGACGAUAACUGACGCUGAGGCACGAAAGCUAGGGGAGCAAACAGGAUUAGAUACCCUGGUAGUCCUAGCCGUAAACGAUGGGUACUAGGUGUGGGUGGUUUCGAUACCAUCCGUGCCGUAGUUAACGCAUUAAGUACCCCGCCUGGGGAGUACGUGCGCAAGCAUGAAACUCAAAGGAAUUGACGG
Molecule: ribosomal RNA, 918 nt
Filed under: uncultured bacterium
Lineage: Bacteria
Description: bacterial SSU rRNA
Rfam family: Bacterial small subunit ribosomal RNA
Source: RNAcentral